UACGAAGGGGGCUAGCGUUGUUCGGAAUUACUGGGCGUAAAGCGCGCGCAGGCGGCUAUCCAAGUCAGUGGUGAAAGCCCGGAGCUCAACUCCGGAACUGCCAUUGAAACUGUUUAGCUUGAGGAUGAGAGAGGUGAGUGGAAUUCCCAGUGUAGAGGUGAAAUUUGUAGAUAUUGGGAAGAACACCGGUGGCGAAGGCGGCUCACUGGCUCAUUACUGACGCUCAUGCACGACAGCGUGGGGAUCAAACAGG
This 253-nucleotide ribosomal RNA is filed under the name uncultured bacterium. RNAcentral describes it as "partial 16S ribosomal RNA". It matches the Rfam family "Bacterial small subunit ribosomal RNA", at positions 524 to 776 of the family's 1533-position model. The record is from RNAcentral.